This 661-nucleotide ribosomal RNA is filed under the name uncultured archaeon. RNAcentral describes it as "bacterial SSU rRNA". It matches the Rfam family "Archaeal small subunit ribosomal RNA", at positions 497 to 1164 of the family's 1478-position model. The record is from RNAcentral.
GGCUUGCCUAAAGGGGCCGUAGCCGGUUUAAUAAAUCCCUUGUGAAAUCGUUGAACUCAAUACAACGGCAUGCAGGGGACACUGUUAGACUUGAGACUGGGAGGAGUUAGGGGUAUUUCUAGGGGAGCGGUUAAAUGUGAUAAUCCUAGAAAGACCACCUGUGGCGAAGGCGCCUAACUAGAACAGUUCUGACGGUGAGGGAUGAAAGCUAGGGGAGCGAUCCGGAUUAGAUACCCGAGUAGUCCUAGCUGUAAACACUGCGAGCUAGGUGUCGCAUAUUCUACGAGAAUAUGCGGUGUCGAAACGAAGGUGAUAAGCUCGCCGCCUGGGAAGUACGGUCGCAAGACUGAAACUUAAAGGAAUUGGCGGGGGAAUACACCAGGAGUGCGGCGUGCGGUUUAAUCUAACUCAACGCAGAACACCUUACUAGAAGCGACGGCAGGAUGAAGAUCAGUCUGAAGGGCUUAUCUGACGAGCCGAGAGGUAGUGCAUGGCCGCCGUCAGCUCGUGUCGUAAGAUGUCCAGUUAAGUCUGGCAACGAGCAAGACCUGUAUCUAUAAUUGCAAACGGGUCCUUCGGGAUGACUGUGCCCAUUAUAGAGACUGCCUUCGUAAGAAGGAGGAAGGUGCAGGCAACGGUAGGUCCGCAUGCCCCGAAAAGC